Molecule: unclassified non-coding RNA, 404 nt
Filed under: Hevea brasiliensis (rubber tree)
Lineage: Eukaryota; Viridiplantae; Streptophyta; Magnoliopsida; Malpighiales; Euphorbiaceae
Source: RNAcentral
UUACUCCUUCAACUGUAUUUACCUGUUUGAAUGUCAAAAUUUCAAUUCAGUCUAGUGCAGAAGAAUUGGAUUUUGUAGAUGCUGGCAGAUUAAAGUAAAUUUACUAUCCAACAUAAGAAGAAUGAGAUGACACAUUUUUAGCAGGUCAAUCAGUGUAAUAGGACAUGCUCCCCCCUUUUAAUCUAUACCAGGUAAUGGUGCACUGAUUCCUCUGUCUUCUCCGUUGUUUGAAAGACACAAUAGCACCUAAUUCUCAUUUUGUAGAGGAGAUAUGAAAGUAGAUUCUAGCUCCAUCAGACCAACAAUCAUCAUAUAUUUAUUAUGUAUUUAAAUAACUUAUUUCCUCCUCUCAACACAUUUUCCGCUUUCUUGGAGAACAAAUAUGCAUAAGAGGAGGAAAUAAG